Molecule: microRNA precursor, 64 nt
Filed under: Myotis brandtii (Brandt's bat)
Lineage: Eukaryota; Metazoa; Chordata; Mammalia; Chiroptera; Vespertilionidae
Description: mir-9242 microRNA precursor family
Rfam family: mir-9242 microRNA precursor family
Source: Rfam by way of RNAcentral
GGCCUCCCUCUGCUGGGCAAUUGAUCGCAGGGUUCCACGAUUGAUUGCCCAGCAGAGGCAGGCC